GAGAAAGGUUUGAUUUGGGAGUGAAAGGGUAGCCCUGAGGAGUAGUAGGGGAACGGGCAGCAGAGAGAAAUAGGAGCCUCAGAAAGUAGAGAGAAAGCGCUAAGGUGACAGUCAUCGACUGUGCCCCUGGAGGCCAAGCCUGGGAUAAGCCAUCAGCAUUGGCCAUGAGCACUCGACUCCUCAGCCUGGCCCAGUCCAGCCAUCUCCCCGGAGUGGAGAAAAAAACAGAAGAAUCUGGGGAAGGAAACACUCCAAGUGCCUACUUCCUCCUCCCCUUCUCAAUAGUUAUUUCAGAAUGUUUCUUAUGUGAGUAGGGAGGGAACUGAUCCCGGAAGCUACACUGCCAGGGUGCUGAGGGCUUUUCACUGAAAGCAGCGGAAUCUCACUGCUGAGUGUGGAGAAAGACUCCUCUGAUUUCAGAAGAUUCCUGAGCCCUGGAAGUGAACCAGGCAUAACAAAAAUGUGAAGUCGAAGGCAGCUGGGAAAGCUAGGCCCCUUCCUGCCCACGGCCAGGAGGACAGGCAUCCUGGAUGUUCUAGAAUUCAGUGAACACAGUCCUGGCAUCCUGGAUGUUCUAGAAUUCAGUGAACACAGUCCUGGAUACAGCAAAAUUUCAUUCUGGUGUUGUAAACUGUGCACUGCCGAGCAUCGUAGCUAAGAGUUUUGAUAUGUGUGGCACCUGUAUAUAUCACUGGAAAAGUUCGGAGGGCAAGAGAGGUAACUGAGGCUUGGAGAGGAAAGCUGUCACUUGCCCAUGUUCACUCCGAAUGCAUGACUGCGUGGGCUGGGGGAUGAGACCUUCUGAUGUCCAGUCUCGGCCACCAGAGGCAGGACCGUGAGAGGCCACAGCUUUGUCCACUCCUGUUAGCACAGACUUCUGGAGCCUGUUAUCCAGUUUGAAUUCUCGGCUUCACCACUUACUAACGGUAACCUGUACUCGAAACGCCGGAGGCUAAGCAAAGGAUCAUAAAAGGAACCUAUCAUCUGAUUCUUCCGCUGUUCCUGGUGAUUUCUUUACAUGAAGGCAAAAAGUAACACAGGAUGGUUUGCUACUUCUCACAUCAAACUGAGCCGGAGCUGUAAUUUACUAAGCAAACCAAUGCAGGAAAUUUUGCUAGAGUGUCCAAUAGACUGACUGGUUUAUAAAAUGGGAGGAGGGGGCAGGCAGAGGAGGCUUCUAUUUCUGAAGAUGAGGAUGAACUGUAUCCAGACUGCAACAGGCAGGAAUGUGUGCAUGUGUUGUAAACAACAGGAAAUGGGCCCUGCGCGUCUGGACAUCUGACUUGGAGCAUCCUUAAACAGCUCUGGAAUCAAAGUCUUCUCUGGGGGCUCAUUACAUUUCGGUUUUAAAAGUUAGCUGGCAAUGUUUAGGACUAUUUCCAGACCCCAGUUAGAAAGUGACUGGACUCUCUAAAAUCUCGCUCUGAGGUAGUGAAGCUGGCAAAGCAAGCCUGCCGUCUGUUUCCCAGAGUCUGUGCUCAUUCGUGACUCAAGCAGCCAAAUUAGGGCAAAGUGCUAGUGGCCUUCUCGUUUUCCUUAGUCUUAGGACCACCAGGUUUUUAGGGGGAUGAUAAAAUUUACCCAGCUAAAAGGCUAUAUUUAUAUUUCCCAGACCCACCAAAAUUGUGUGUGGCCAUAUGACAAAUUCCUAGCCAGUGAAAUUAAGUGGAAGUAUUUUGUGUGACCCUGAGAAAGUAUCUUAAUAGACAGCUGAUGUAAACACUUUGCUCACUCUUUCCUUUCCCACAUUCUGCUGCCUAGAAUAUGGAUAGGGUGGCUGGAGCUCUACCAGCCAUUUUGUACUAUGAGGGCCAGAGUCGCACUCUAAGGAAGGCAGUGGUGACUAGAAGGAGCCUGGACCCCCAGGUUCUUUGUGGAGCCGGCAUAUCAAUCCAAAGUAUCCUAUCUCUGCACUUCUGUUAUGUGUAAGAGAAAUAAACUACUUCUAUAUUAUCUAAGUCAUGAUUUUUAAAGUUUUUGUUUUAUGCAGUCGGAACUAAUCCUAAAUGAUACACCAAUGUUUGCAUAAUCUUCCCACAUUGUGAGAUUGAAUGACCAAGAGUAAGUACUCCCAUAAAGUCUUAUUUGAUCUAAGUUUCUUAAAAUUAUUUUGAAACAACAAACAAUUUAUAAUAAGAUUGACACUGUAUUAGGUCUUAGCUGACCAAUUUUGAUUUCAUACGGUGCCUCCAUUCAUCGAAGGGGUUUUUUAAUGCACAUUGGCAGAUCUCAUCAAACGAAGAGAACGAAAUUCAGGUGCUCUAUGUGCUUUUUCAUUUAAAACUUAAAAGACAUCUGCAAUCAUUGGUGCACAUAAAUAGAGACCCUGAUCUUCAGGCUCCUUUAGCAGAAUAGUCAAUAAUUCUCAGCUAAUAGAACAUUGCAAAAAGUUCCGGGAAGUCCCUCUCUCUUCCUAGGCUUCUGAUUUCUCUGAUACGAUAGUAUGCGCUGACUGGCUCUCCAGCAGCCAUUCCUAGCGUUCAAACUAGAGAAACAGUUACUUGCUGCAUGUGGUAAUCAUUGCUGCUGCUCACCAAGUGCUUCUCACUCUCCGUCUUCCAGACACCUGAUGGAAUUGUACUUCCUGGAUCUUUUUGGUUCAGUAGCGCUCUGUUCUGGCCAAUGGAUUGUGUCACUUCCAAGUUCAGCGUCUAACAUUCAUGUGAGACCCAGCAGAGUUGUAUUUUUUCAUUUGCCAUAGUAUUGAGCAGUGUAUCAAGUAGUGUAUCAUAGCAGUGGCUGCCCAUCAGCUGUGUCUGGGAGGGAGGGAGAUGCCACCACAGAGCAGAGUCCCCAGGUGUCUCCCACUGGACAUGCGGUGUGAACAAGAAAUAUCCCUAUUUUGCUUCAAUCCCCUGAGAUUUGGAGACUGCUUGUUACUGCAGCAUAAUCUCUGUCAUCCUGACUGACACACACCAUUCGGAAAAGCCUCCUGAGGAUGGGGUAAUCACGCAGGGCCUCAAUGAGACAGUCUCUGGUUCCAGUAACCAGGAAGAGCUGUGGGUGAAAGUUCCCUCUGAUUUGACACAUACACUUAACCCCUUCAACGUCAAUAAAUUCUGCUCAUAAACUUUUUUGUUGAGCAGUUUCCCAUAACAUAUCUAUCUACAAAAAUCUGUCAGUAAGCGAAGCAAUCCUCAUUCCUCAGUGACUUCAGACUCAUCAAACUUAACGGCGGAUCCCGGCAUUUAGAUUCCAUGUACAACGAGCUCCACCGUGUGGUGUUUAGAAUGAAUGACUAUAAAAGCAAGGUCACAUACCCAAUACCACCGCACACCCCUUGAGAGAGGGACUGUGCCUGAUAAAAGAAGUCACAUCCCGCUCGCUUGGGCAUCAAAUCAAAAACAAGACAGAAAAUGUUCCUGUCCUGUGAGCCAGGAAGCAGUAGAGAGGCUGGCUUGUUUAUUUCUUCAUUCAACUAAUAAUUAUCAGGCCCUACUACGUACCAGAUACCAUUCCAGGCUCUGGGGAUUUCACAGUGAACAGGACAGACAAAGUUCCUGCCUGAGCUGGAAAGACAGACGACAGAACAAGACAAAGUCAUAUAUGCUAUAGUGUCAGAUGUGAGAAGUUACAUAACCCAAAAUAAAUCUGGGAUAGGGCAUAGAGGGCGACGGAGGAGGGAUUAUUUUAAAUAAAGUUGACAAAAGUAAAGGCAAACAGUCCACGUUUAGCCCUCCCAACGUCCCUUUAGAUAAAUGAUCCAAAUCUCAACUAUAUGUAAAUAUGAACAUUCUCUUGCAGACUUAAAAUGUUAAAAUGCUUCAAGAUGCCCAAAUCUUGGUUUCUAAACAUCGCUCUGUCUCAGUCCGUUCAGGCUGCUAUGACCAAAAUACCAGAGACUGGGUGGUUUAAACAACAAACGUUGAUUCCUCACAGUUCUGGAGGCUAGGAAGUCCAAGAUCAAGUGCCAGCAGAUUCGGUGUCUGGUGAGGGCCCCUUCCUGGUUCUUAGAUGGCCAUCUUCUCACUGUGUCCUCACAUGGCAGAAAGAGCAAGGGUGCUCUCUGGGGUCUCUUUCAUGAGGCCACUAAUCCUCCUCAUGAAGGCUCCACCCUCGUGACUUAAUCCCUCCCAAAGGCCUCACCUCCUAAUGCCAUUACAUUGGGUGUUAGGAUUUUAACAUGAAUUUGGGAGGGACACAAAUAUUCAGCCUAUAGCCGCUGCCUGAAAACAAACCACGACUCUUUAGAGAAACCACUGAUUUUUCAGGUCUGAGUCAGGAAAGGGACAAGAAGAUCCUGGGACAUACUGUUAUGCCAGAAAAUGCAGACGCAUUCAAAGACUAAUAACAGGGUUGUGCUAGUCUUUAACCUGCCACAGAAAACAGGUUAUAGGGCUUCCAACUGCCAAAUGGGGGGCUGCUUAAGUAUCAUGAAGAGUAAUAACUCUAACCGAUAUUACAUUGAUGAUUAAAAUUCAUGAGUUUGUGGUGAUAUGUUUUUAAAAAAGGGAAAGAGGCUCUGUUUUAUAGAAUGCCAAUAGAAGAUAUUAUAGAAUCAGAGAAUCAUGGAAUACCGAUUCAUGCAAGGAUCAUCUUGAAUGUUAAUUUCCUGUUGCUGAUGUAACAAAUUACUACAAACUUAGUGUCUUAAAACAAGACAUUUAUUAUUUUAUACUUCUGGAGAUCAGAAGUCUAAAAUGGGCCAGCACAGCCGCUUUCCUUCUGCAGACUCUGGGGAGAAUUUGAUUCUUCCUUUUUCUAGUUUCUGAUGUUCUCUAUACUCCUUGGGUCUCAUGGCCCCACAUCACUCCAACCUCUGCUUCCAUGAUUGCAUCUCCUUCUGUCUCACUCUGACCCUGUUGUGUCCUUUUUAUAUGGACCCUGUGACAGCAUUGGGCUGACCUGGAUAAUCCAGGAUACUCUCCCCAUCAUAAGAUCCUUAAUCAUAUCUGCAAAGCCCCAUGUGUUAUAUAAUGUGAAGUACACAAACCACUUAUAAGAUAUUCUUGCCAAAAAGGUUUAACUUGAAUCUAAUCAAGCCUUUAGCCCUAACUUCCAUCUUACAGAAAUGACGCCAUAGUUAAAUAAUCAGACAUUUGGGAUGUGGGACUUGCUGUAUGUCCACUACCCUAGAUGCCUCAAAAUUGCAAUGUCAUAAAAAAGGAUGGGGAUAUUCUAAAAUUUUUAAAAAGACAAAAGACAUAGUAACCAAAUGCAAUAUGUGACACUUGAUUGGAUCUUGGUUCAAAAAGACAUUUUAAAGACAAUUGGUGGAAUUUUAAGUUUGGCUUGAUGAUAUGGAAUAUUGCUAAUGUUCUUAUGUUUAUAUCGGAUAAUGUCCUUAUUUUUUGGAAAUGCAUCUUGAAAUAUUUAGAAGUAAAGUUUAUGAUGUAUGAACCUUACUUUCAAAUGGUUUAGAUAAAAGCAGUGUGUGUGCAUGUGUGAUAAUUGCAAUUUAUAAUAAGAAAUACGAGGGCCGGCCCCGUGGCCGAGUGGUUAAGUUCACGUGCUCUGCUUCGGCGGCCCAGGGUUCGGAUCCUGGGCACAGACAUGGCACCACCCAUCAGGCCACAUUGAGGCGGCAUCCCACAUGCCACAACUAGAAGAACCCACAACUAAAAUAUACAACUAUGUAUUGGGGGGAUUUGGGGAGGAAAAAAAAAGCAGGGAAAAAGAAAAAAAAUUACAUUUAAGAAAUACGUAUUUGGUCUUCAUCUUGGUUCUUGUCACAGGGCUCCUAAAACCCUGGGAAUUUCCCAAGUGAUAAGAGUGAUAGAGGGGUCUUGAUCCUCAUUACAAACCCCUUCUGACCACACCUGAGUUUAUAUUGAUGCGUUCACUUUGGGAGAACCUAAGGACGGGGGCUGGUUUCCAGGAGAAUCAACCUGUGAUUAGAGGUCUGGAACUUUCAGCCCCACCCCUCUGACUUCCACGGACGGGAGAGGGGCUGGAGGCUAGAUUGAUUGCUGAUGGCUAAUGAUUUAAUCAAUCACGCCUAUGUAAUGAAAGCCUCCAUGAAAACCCAAGAGGAGCAGGUUCAGAGAGCUGCCGGGUUGGUGAACACCCGCAGAUGUGGAGAGUGCGGCAGCUCAGAGAGGAUGAAGCUCCACGCCCCUCCCCACGUACCUUGCCCUAAACAUCUCUUCCACCUGCUUUUCCCGAGUUAUACCCUUUUAUAUCAAAUGGGUGAGAUAGAAAGUAAAAUGUUUCUCUGAGUUCUUUGAGCCACUCUAGCAAAUUAAUGGAACCCAAGAUGAGGGUCAUUGCGACCUCCAAUCUACAGCGAAGUUUUGAAGUCAUCACAAGCCCAGGUGAUAACCUGGACUUGCGAUUGGUGUGGGGGUGUGGAGGUGGGCGGGUGGAAUCUUGCAGGAUUGACCCCUUAACCUGUGGAAUCUGCUAUCUCCAGGCAGAUAGUGUCAGAAUUGAGUGGAAUUGUAGGACACCCAGCUGGUGUCCCACAAUUGCUUAGUGGUGUGGGGAACCCCCACACAAGACACACACUGGAAUCCGGUACCAGAUUUGUGCGUGUGUGUGUGUGUGUGUGUGUGUUUGUGAAAAGAGAGAGAAAGAGAAAAAGAGAGACAGAGAUGAAACAAUACGGCAAAAUAUUAACAUUUGUUGACUCUAAGAGGAGAGUAUAUAGUUGUGCAUCAUACUUGUAGUAUUUAAUUUUAUCUGUCAACUUGGCUAGGUCAUGGUAUGCAGAUAGUUGGUCAAACAUUAUUCUAGAUGUUUCUGUGAAGGUGUUUUUUAGAUGAGAUUAAGAUUUAAAUCAGCAGACUGAGUAAAGCAGGUUAUCCUCCAUCAUGUGGGUGGGCCUCAUCCAAUCAGUUGAAGGUCUUAAUAGAAAAAGACCGAUUCCCCAGAAGAAGAAGGAAUUCCCCCAGCUGACCUGCUUCAGACUUGAACUGCAGCAUCAACUCUUCCCUGGGGCUCCAGCCGGCUGGCCUGUUGUGCAAAUUUUGGACACACCAGCCUCUACAAUUUCAUGAGCCAAUUCCCUAAAGUAUCUCAAUCUCUCUCUCUCCACAUUAUACACAUAUGUGUAAUCUGUAUAUAUAAUAUAUAUGUAAUAUAUAUAGCGCAUAUCUAAUAGGAUAUAUAUGUAGAUAUCCCAUUGGUUCUGUUUCUCUGGGGAACCCUAAUGAAAUAUCCUUCUUUCAACUUCCCAGUAUGUUUGACAAUAUUUCUAAUAAAAAGUUAGAAAAAAAUUUAAAUUUUGGUAAAUAUAAGAGCCCUCAGGAGUUUUAGGUGCAGUGUCUUGGUGCUCAUAGCUAUGCUUGUAGCAGAGAAAAUUAGCCCUUAUGGAGAGGAGUCUGAGUCUAGCCAGAUUGAAAUUAUGCACCACCUGUCAGUUUGCAAAUAGUUUUGAGGCUUUGCUCUGCUGGGGGCUGUGCUCGGUGCGGGGCGAGGGAGUGGCCACUGAAAGCGGUCCUUGCCAACCUCUUCCUGUGGCAUCGCAGCACCACACCUGCAGGCCAAGUUCAUGGGGACAAAGUACAGGACAUCCGACCAGCGCUUGGUCUCGGGAGAGUGCUCUUGGACACAGGAUCUCGG
Equus caballus (horse) is the source of this 7503-nucleotide long non-coding RNA. The record is from Ensembl. NCBI's taxonomy places the organism in Eukaryota, Metazoa, Chordata, Mammalia, Perissodactyla, Equidae.